UGGCGACCGGCGCACGGGUGAGUAACGCGUAUGCAACCUGCCCGAUACCGGGGUAUGGCCCAUGGAAACGUGGAUUAACACCCCAUAGUACUUUUAUCCUGCAUGGGAUGUGAGUUAAAUGUUCAAGGUAUCGGAUGGGCAUGCGUCCUAUUAGUUAGUUGGCGGGGUAACAGCCCACCAAGACGAUGAUAGGUAGGGGUUCUGAGAGGAAGGUCCCCCACAUUGGAACUGAGACACGGUCCAA
RNAcentral lists this ribosomal RNA (244 nucleotides) under uncultured bacterium. RNAcentral describes it as "partial 16S ribosomal RNA". It matches the Rfam family "Bacterial small subunit ribosomal RNA", at positions 89 to 334 of the family's 1533-position model. The record is from RNAcentral.